RNAcentral lists this unclassified non-coding RNA (383 nucleotides) under Hevea brasiliensis (rubber tree). The record is from RNAcentral. Lineage: Eukaryota; Viridiplantae; Streptophyta; Magnoliopsida; Malpighiales; Euphorbiaceae.
UUUUUUUUUUUCUUUUUUUUCAUUAUUAUGCCGCUAAAAUAUAAUUAUCAAUAUCAAUGUUGCGCUUGUGGUAAACUUGGCAACUCAAUUAGCUACAAAUGCUAUGAGUGCAACUUUGAUGUUCAUCUGAGAUGCAUUUUACCUGGCACCAUGCCAAAAUAUAGCCAACUUGUUUGAUCCCUACAUAUGCUUGUUCUCAAGAUGAGUCCAUUUAGUAUUCUUGUGAUAUUUGAAAUCAGAAAAGAGAGUUGGGUCAAUUGUUUUAUCGGUGUGAAGAUUGUAAUUUAGCCAUUCAGUGAGAUGCUUGCCAGAUCAAAGCCAAAAGCUCAACAACGUAUUAGUCUGCCUUUCCUGGUUCUUCUUAUAUAAUUUGGCUGUUUUGG